RNAcentral lists this ribosomal RNA (497 nucleotides) under uncultured bacterium. RNAcentral's name for it is "partial 16S ribosomal RNA". It matches the Rfam family "Bacterial small subunit ribosomal RNA", at positions 28 to 507 of the family's 1533-position model. The record is from RNAcentral.
GAUGAACGCUGGCGGCGUGCCUAAUACAUGCAAGUCGAGCGAACAGAUGAGGAGCUUGCUCCUCUGACGUUAGCGGCGGACGGGUGAGUAACACGUGGAUAACCUACCUAUAAGACUGGGAUAACUUCGGGAAACCGGAGCUAAUACCGGAUAAUAUAUUGAACCGCAUGGUUCAAUAGUGAAAGACGGGUUUGCUGUCACUUAUAGAUGGAUCCGCGCCGCAUUAGCUAGUUGGUAAGGUAACGGCUUACCAAGGCAACGAUGCGUAGCCGACCUGAGAGGGUGAUCGGCCACACUGGAACUGAGACACGGUCCAGACUCCUACGGGAGGCAGCAGUAGGGAAUCUUCCGCAAUGGGCGAAAGCCUGACGGAGCAACGCCGCGUGAGUGAUGAAGGUCUUCGGAUCGUAAAACUCUGUUAUUACGGAAGAACAAAUGUGUAAGUAACUAUGCACGUCUUGACGGUACCUAAUCAGAAAGCCACGGCUAACUACGUG